CCUGGUGGCUCAGAUGGUAAAGAAUCUGUCUGCAAUGCAGAAGACCCAGGUUCAAUUCCUGGGUCAGGA
RNAcentral lists this transfer RNA (69 nucleotides) under Ovis aries (sheep). It matches the Rfam family "tRNA". Rfam says of the family: Transfer RNA (tRNA) molecules are approximately 80 nucleotides in length. The record is from Rfam by way of RNAcentral. Lineage: Eukaryota; Metazoa; Chordata; Mammalia; Artiodactyla; Bovidae.